CGUGAGCUCCCAACAUUCUGGCAUGUCUGUUAGUAGUCGUAGAAGAUGAAGAAGAAGAAAAAAGCGGCAGCCCUUUUUGGUAAUUUCAUUAUGCACUUGUGAUACAUAUAAUUAAUUAAUUAAAAAAAUAAAGAAAAAGAUGGCGGGAACAAAACGGUGUCGUUUUGGGAAUUUUAGUGCUGUACCCGUGAAGGAUUUAUUAUUGGUAAUAAUUAUAUAUAUAAAAAAAAAAGGUCAAAUU
This 241-nucleotide long non-coding RNA is filed under the name Carica papaya (papaya). RNAcentral's name for it is "long non-coding RNA (CPAP_LNC000006)". The record is from RNAcentral. Lineage: Eukaryota; Viridiplantae; Streptophyta; Magnoliopsida; Brassicales; Caricaceae.